GUGAGGAAUAUUGGUCAAUGGACGAGAGUCUGAACCAGCCAAGUCGCGUGAAGGAAGACGGUUCUAUGAAUUGUAAACUUCUUUUGUGCAGGAAUAAAGUGGGUUACGUGUAACCUUUUGUAUGUACUGUACGAAUAAGGAUCGGCUAACUCCGUGCCAGCAGCCGCGGUAAUACGGAGGAUCCGAGCGUUAUCCGGAGUGAUUGGGUUUAAAGGGUGCGUAGGUGGCUUGAUAAGUCAGCGGUGAAAGUUUGCAGCUUAACUGUAAAAUUGCCGUUGAAACUGUCGGUCUUGAGUGCAAAUGAGGUAGGCGGAAUGUGUUGUGUAGCGGUGAAAUGCUUAGAUAUAACACAGAACUCCGAUUGCGAAGGCAGCUUACUGGGAUGCAACUGACACUGAUGCACGAAAGCGUGGGUAUCAAACAGGAUUAGAUACCCCAGUAGUCU
RNAcentral lists this ribosomal RNA (445 nucleotides) under uncultured bacterium. Its description in RNAcentral is "partial 16S ribosomal RNA". It matches the Rfam family "Bacterial small subunit ribosomal RNA", at positions 354 to 796 of the family's 1533-position model. The record is from RNAcentral.